Molecule: long non-coding RNA, 1798 nt
Filed under: Mytilus galloprovincialis (Mediterranean mussel)
Lineage: Eukaryota; Metazoa; Mollusca; Bivalvia; Mytilida; Mytilidae
Source: RNAcentral
GUUUAGUUUAAACAUAUUUUAUUUGCAAAAGUAGCAAAAGGGAUUGGACACAAGUUAUAACAACAUUAGAGACGUCCUCUCCCAAUAUAAAUAUAAACACAAAGUACAUUAGAUAAUGGCGAAAAAGAAAAAAUACAACAUAGUAGUAAUGCAUGUAAUACAUACUUCAAACAAAAAUUAGAAAUAAAAAGAAAAAAGAAAAAAAAUACAAUAUAAUAAGGAAUAAUAAUGAAACAACUAGACUGGAGUGAAAGGUUGUAAAGUAGAAAUUUAGAAUGUUAAUUGAUUGUUUUAAAUCUUUGUGUUAUUCUGAUAUAAGAUUGUACGGACUCAAAAAUGUCUUUGUUUUGCUGAAAAGAAAGGUCACCGUCACCAGCUAAUAGAAGCUCAAUGGAUAUAGCAUAACUUUCUAAUUUUGAAAACAGUAUUUCUCUUGCUUCGUUAUGAAGAGCGCACUCUAAAAAAUAGUGUAUACUAUCCUCAACAGGGUGGCCACAGCUGCAUGCAGGACUUGGUUUAAUAUUAACACGAUGUAAAUCUGAAUUUAAAGAACUGCACAUAUUUCUCAAACGUGUAUGAAUGAUAUUAAGUUUUCUAUCCCCACAACUAAAAUAGGAAGGUGGCUGUAUCAAUUUGGACUUCAUCUUUCGUUUAAAAAUAUUUAUGUUUUUGGACGUACGUAUGUCGGGGGGAAGGCUAUUCCAUUCAAUAGUAGUGGAUGGGAAAAAGGAUUUUCUAGUUAUGUCUAGUCUAUAACCGGGUACUACAUAAUUAUUACUGUUUCGCAAAUCGUAGUUAGAUACUUGACCAACAAGCGGGGGCAUUAAAUCACAUAGAUAAUCAGGGGCAGUCCCAUUAUGUAAAGAAUAGAACAUAUUGAGCUUUCUGGAUUUUCUUCUGUCCACAAGCAAUUGCCAGCCAGUUUCAAAAUAUAUAGCUUCCCGACUAGCAAACACGGGCAACCCAGUUACUAACCUCCCUGCUUCUAACUGAACAUGUUCUAAAUUGUCGGCUUCUUGUUGAGUACAACCAUCCCAUAACUCACAUGCAUAUUCCAUAACGGGUCUUAUAAAAGUUAAAUAUAUACGAGCAAGAUAAUUUCUAUUCAAUACAUAUUUCAAUUUUUUAAGAACAUUUAAUCUUGUGCUUGCACACUUUAAAAUAUUUUCUAUAUGUGUAUGGAAUUUACCAUUGGAAUCAAAAGUAAUCCCUAAGUGUUUAUGACAGGAGACAAAUUCUACUAAUUGGUUUUGAAAUUCUAUUUCAAUAUCAUCUGGGGAAGUAUGGCAGGAGAAUAUCAUAGCCUUUGUCUUAUUAGGGUUAAAGUUAAUAAGCCAAUCUUUAGACCAUACUGAAAUUUGUUCUAAAUCGCUGUUUAAGACAUCCUCUAUAGUGUAAGGAUUAUUGCUGGAAUAAGAAAGAGAUGUAUCAUCAGCAAACAAUCGAGUUAGACUUGUCAAAUUAUCAGCUAUGUCAUUUACAUAAAUAAGAAAUAGUAGGGGACCUAAUACAGAGCCUUGCGGAACUCCUGCAUUAGUAUUAUCAAAAGGCGAAUAGGCAUUUGAAACAAAAACGCUUUGUUUUCUAUUUGAAAUAUAACUUUCAAACCAUUUAUACAGAUUUCCAUCAAUACCAUACGCUUUUAGUUUUAUUAAGAGGCCACUAUGCCAUACCCUAUCAAAAGCUUUCGAGAUAUCACAUAAUAUAAGAGAUGUUAUACAGCGAUCAUCAAGUGACAUGCAUAUCCUAUAGUAAAUUUCUAUUAGCUGGUGAACGGUAGAAUGACCUGGAAUAAAAC